RNAcentral lists this ribosomal RNA (164 nucleotides) under uncultured bacterium. RNAcentral describes it as "partial 16S rRNA". It matches the Rfam family "Bacterial small subunit ribosomal RNA", at positions 355 to 511 of the family's 1533-position model. The record is from RNAcentral.
UAGGGAAUCUUCCACAAUGGACGCAAGUCUGAUGGAGCAACGCCGCGUGAGUGAAGAAGGUCUUCGGUUCGUAAAACUCUGUUGUUAGAGAAGAACACGAGUGAGAGUAACUGUUCAUUCGAUGACGGUAUCUAACCAGCAAGUCACGGCUAACUACGUGCUAG